Molecule: ribosomal RNA, 479 nt
Filed under: uncultured Marinomonas sp.
Lineage: Bacteria; Pseudomonadati; Pseudomonadota; Gammaproteobacteria; Oceanospirillales; Oceanospirillaceae
Description: bacterial SSU rRNA
Rfam family: Bacterial small subunit ribosomal RNA
Source: RNAcentral
GGCGGACGGGUGAGUAACGCGUAGGAAUCUGCCUAGUAGAGGGGGACAACAUGUGGAAACGCAUGCUAAUACCGCAUACGCCCUACGGGGGAAAGGAGGGGACUCUUCGGAGCCUUCCGCUAUUAGAUGAGCCUGCGUAAGAUUAGCUAGUUGGUAGGGUAAAGGCCUACCAAGGCGACGAUCUUUAACUGGUCUGAGAGGAUGACCAGUCACACUGGGACUGAGACACGGCCCAGACUCCUACGGGAGGCAGCAGUGGGGAAUAUUGGACAAUGGGCGGAAGCCUGAUCCAGCCAUGCCGCGUGUGUGAAGAAGGCCUUAGGGUUGUAAAGCACUUUCAGGGGUGAGGAAGGGUAGCUAGUUAAUACCUAGUUAUCUUGACGUUAGCCCCAGAAGAAGCACCGGCUAACUCUGUGCCAGCAGCCGCGGUAAUACAGAGGGUGCAAGCGUUAAUCGGAAUUACUGGGCGUAAAGCGCGC